GAUGAACGCUGGCGGCGUGCCUAAUACAUGCAAGUCGAGCGAACGGACGAGAAGCUUGCUUCUCUGAUGUUAGCGGCGGACGGGUGAGUAACACGUGGAUAACCUACCUAUAAGACUGGGAUAACUUCGGGAAACCGGAGCUAAUACCGGAUAAUAUUUUGAACCGCAUGAUUCAAAAGUGAAAGACGGUCUUGCUGUCACUUAUAGAUGGAUCCGCGCUGCAUUAGCUAGUUGGUAAGGUAACGGCUUACCAAGGCAACGAUGCAUAGCCGACCUGAGAGGGUGAUCGGCCACACUGGAACUGAGACACGGUCCAGACUCCUACGGGAGGCAGCAGUAGGGAAUCUUCCGCAAUGGGCGAAAGCCUGACGGAGCAACGCCGCGUGAGUGAUGAAGGUCUUCGGAUCGUAAAACUCUGUUAUUAGGGAAGAACAUAUGUGUAAGUAACUUUGCACAUCUUGACGGUACCUAAUCAGAAAGCCACGGCUAACUACGUG
This 497-nucleotide ribosomal RNA is filed under the name uncultured bacterium. RNAcentral describes it as "partial 16S ribosomal RNA". It matches the Rfam family "Bacterial small subunit ribosomal RNA", at positions 28 to 507 of the family's 1533-position model. The record is from RNAcentral.